This 402-nucleotide ribosomal RNA is filed under the name Capnocytophaga granulosa. RNAcentral describes it as "bacterial SSU rRNA". It matches the Rfam family "Bacterial small subunit ribosomal RNA", at positions 28 to 434 of the family's 1533-position model. The record is from RNAcentral. Lineage: Bacteria; Pseudomonadati; Bacteroidota; Flavobacteriia; Flavobacteriales; Flavobacteriaceae.
GAUGAACGCUAGCGGCAGGCCUAACACAUGCAAGUCGAGGGAGAAGCCCUUCGGGGCAGAAACCGGCGCACGGGUGCGUAACGCGUAUGCAACCUACCUUUCACAGGGGGAUAGCCCGAAGAAAUUUGGAUUAAUACCCCAUAAUAUUAUUGGAUGGCAUCAUUUGAUAAUUAAAAUUACGAUGGUGAAAGAUGGGCAUGCGUCCUAUUAGCUAGUUGGAGUGGUAACGGCACCCCAAGGCUACGAUAGGUAGGGGUCCUGAGAGGGAGAUCCCCCACACUGGUACUGAGACAGGGACCAGACUCCUACGGGAGGCAGCAGUGAGGAAUAUUGGUCAAUGGUCGGAAGACUGAACCAGCCAUGCCGCGUGCAGGAAGAAUGCCUUAUGGGUUGUAAACUGCU